CCGCUCUCAGGGUUGCAACUGGAGAGUUUCCAGUACUUUACCAGUCUCGACUAAGGGAGGGAGAGUCAAGCAGAAGCAUAUCUAUUCCAUUCCUAGCUCAGUGGCUAGCGAAUGGAAGGCAAUCUGCUACAAGU
Small nucleolar RNA from Tachyglossus aculeatus (Australian echidna), 134 nucleotides. NCBI's taxonomy places the organism in Eukaryota, Metazoa, Chordata, Mammalia, Monotremata, Tachyglossidae. The record is from RefSeq and is a predicted model, not a curated record.